Molecule: ribosomal RNA, 433 nt
Filed under: uncultured bacterium
Lineage: Bacteria
Description: partial 16S ribosomal RNA
Rfam family: Bacterial small subunit ribosomal RNA
Source: RNAcentral
AGCGAACGCUGGCGGCAGGCUUAACACAUGCAAGUCGAGCGGGCCUUUCGGGGUCAGCGGCGGACGGGUGAGUAACGCGUGGGAACGUGCCCUCUGGUUCGGAAUAACUCAGGGAAACUUGAGCUAAUACCGGAUACGCCCUUUUGGGGAAAGGCUUGCUGCCGGAGGAUCGGCCCGCGUCUGAUUAGCUAGUUGGUGAGGUAACGGCUCACCAAGGCGACGAUCAGUAGCUGGUCUGAGAGGAUGAUCAGCCACACUGGGACUGAGACACGGCCCAGACUCCUACGGGAGGCAGCAGUGGGGAAUAUUGGACAAUGGGCGCAAGCCCGAUCCAGCCAUGCCGCGUGAGUGAUGAAGGCCUUAGGGUUGUAAAGCUCUUUUAUCCGGGACGAUAAUGACGGUACCGGAGGAAUAAGCCCCGGCUAACUUCGUG